AGAGAAGAUUAUGUCAGCAUCUAUAAAAAUCUAUAUUUGAUUGAAUCAAUAGCUAUUUUAUGUGGGGAUGGCUAAUCAGAUGUCUCUUUUUGCCUCUAAAAGCUUCUCCCAUUGUUUCACAGCCCCCUUUGGAGGAUCAAACUCAGGACCUUCAGCUUUAGAGACUGAUGUGUUGCCUACUGUGCUAAGAAGCAAUUUUAGGGAAAGAUUGGACACGGAAAAGCUGAUGCAACAGAAGGACUGUUUUGAGGAGCAGCAUGAUUCCAGAAAGGCCCCAAAGAAGAAGAUACCAGCAAGAGAAGAUAUCCUCAGAAAUCAGACAAAUGCAUAAUGAGACUGAAUUCUUGGAAAUAAUGGACGGGACAGUGGGAAUUAGGUCACUGAUUCAUGUCUCUUCCAUGUACCAAUAUAUUAUUUUGUAUAUGUUGUAUGAUAAUGGCUAUUUGUAAAUGUAUCUAUUAGUAAUUAUCAUGUUGAGACACUCAAGGAUCAUAGUAAGAUCCUCUAUGUCAGUAAUGGUGAACCUAUGGAACAGGUGCUAAAGAUGGUACACAGAGCACUCUUUAUGGGCCCUUGGCCACCUCCCUCUCCCAGUCAGAGAUUGUUAUUAAAAAGACAGAGAGACUCAUCUGGAGCUGCUCCCCUUCCCCUCUCCACUAUGUCUGAUGACAUUUUUCACAUCCCCUAUGCGUCUGUCCAGCAGCCCAAUGGAAGCUCAGAGGGGGUAAGGUGAGUGGCUCAUAGACAGCAGAGCUGGAGGGAAGCAGAGUGCUCAGGCCACUCCCCUCUCUCUAUAUAUAGUCGCUGAGGACACUCCUCACUUCAUUCACCCCUCCAACUAGCAGUCCAAUGGGAGCACUUCUUCCUUCCCCUGUGUGGGGUAAGGGUGGGAUGGGUUGUACCCAAUACUCAUGGUGAGGGGAAGGGGCACACAGCCUGCUGUCUCGGGGUGGGAGUGGGAUGGGGGGGCAGCACACCAUCUGUAAAGGUUUUGCCAUCACUGCUUUAUGUAAUAUAUAGUACCUUCAGAUUCUUAUGUAUCCUGGUGAAUUUGUUCUGAAAUUUCCAGAUAUGGUGACUCAAUCUCCCAAGGAAUCAUAUGGAAGAUUGCUUAUUUUUUAUAAACUGUAUUAAUCUCAUGUCAGGGACCUGGAUUAGAGGGGCUCCAAUCAGUCUGUUGACUUUUUAAUUCCCUUUGUUCUUAGGAACGCCUUUGAAUAUUCUCUUCCUAUUUCUCCCAUGGCUGGCAUUUCUAACCUUAAGAGGUCUCACCUGUCUGGCAAGCUUUGAAUCCUGUUGGCUUUGAAUGGCUACCUAGCCCACCACACUCUCCUUUCUUUUAAAAUGCUAUCAUUUGAAUCUGACUGCUAGUUUUUUCAAACACAGUUGUUUAAUAGUUCAAGUAAUAAAAGGGGGGGAUAGAUUUGUGGAAAAAGGAAA
Molecule: long non-coding RNA, 1440 nt
Filed under: Monodelphis domestica (gray short-tailed opossum)
Lineage: Eukaryota; Metazoa; Chordata; Mammalia; Didelphimorphia; Didelphidae
Description: lncRNA (ENSMODG00000044612.1)
Source: RNAcentral